Molecule: ribosomal RNA, 325 nt
Filed under: uncultured eukaryote
Lineage: Eukaryota
Description: partial 18S ribosomal RNA
Rfam family: Eukaryotic small subunit ribosomal RNA
Source: RNAcentral
CCCUUAGAUGUUCUGGGCCGCACGCGCGCUACACUGAUGCAUUCAACGAGCCUAUCCUUGACCGACAGGUCCGGGUAAUCUUUGAAUCUGCAUCGUGACGGGGAUAGAUUAUUGCAAUUAUUAAUCUUCAACGUGGAAUGCCUAGUAGGCGCAAGUCAUCAGCUUGCGUCGAUUACGUCCCUGCCCUUUGUACACACCGCCCGUCGCUCCUACCGAUUGGGUGUGCUGGUGAAAUGUUCGGAUCGGCCGUUUGUCGCGGUUUCCGCGGCUCGUGGCUGAGAAGUUCAUUAAACCCUCCCACCUAGAGGAAGGAGAAGUCGUAACA